Long non-coding RNA from Stegodyphus dumicola, 1447 nucleotides. RefSeq lists it as uncharacterized. Lineage: Eukaryota; Metazoa; Arthropoda; Arachnida; Araneae; Eresidae. The record is from RefSeq and is a predicted model, not a curated record.
AAGGUUGAAAGAAGCUAGAAUUUUGAAGGUCAGAGAGAUGAUAGGAGGAACUGAGCUCCGAGACAUCUGCUCUUGUUUUCUUUUCGCAGUGGUUCUGAAGCAACAUGGUGAAAGCACCGCGCUAGCAAUCUGUUGAAGAGCUGCUUUCUUGAAAGAAUUUUUUCAGGUUGACUGUUUUUCAGAGAUGAAGUUAAAGACUUUUUGAAUCCUAGCAGUGAAGGAAAAGGACUUUACAUAUACUACCAUUUUGUAUACAUUCUAUGAUUAUUCAAGGAACUCGAAGAGCUUUACUCAGAGAGCUUCAAUAAAAAAUAUAAACUGCAAAGAAAUGAUCUUAACUCCGGGGACUGUAAUUACCCUCUUAUUUGCCUUUUUUCUCAUAUCAAAUGAUUUAGCGCAUGGUGUGGUCAAUAACCAUAUGGCUCCUUAUGAGCCUGUGCGAAACCAAGGAUGGAGCCGCCGCCUGUAUUACAAAAGAAGAUAUUAUCCAAAACGAAAAAUGAAGAAACGAGUCCGAAACAGAACUCGAGCAUACCGUGGACCUGAUUUGGAUUGGCCAGAGAUACCACCAAUCCAAAUGAUAAAGUUACCACUGGAUGUUGCACCAGAGUGAUCAUCGGUGACCAAAUCAUCUUCAGAAUUUUCAUUUAAGCUCACAAUUUUAACAUCAAUUGACAUCAGCUUCACAUUUAUUUCAGAUACAUUCAUGUAAACGGAAUAAAUAAACUUUAGAGCUCUUUUUCAAAACUCUCCUUCUUUACGCAUAUUUUUUUGUUGUUAAAAGGAAUUGCCUGUUUGCAUUAAAUUUGUAAUGAUUAAUAACAGACUUAGAGAUACAUAAAUGAUCAAAUGAUUUAUUAACAAAACGAAUUUGUUUCUCUUAUAUUAUCAAAACUUUUAUCCCGCAGCCCUUACGAUACAGUCAUAAAGGAGUCAACUGCCAUAAUCUUGGGUACGGGUUCCCCGAAAAGGCAUAAUACUAAGUGCAUGGUGUUUUUGUGGCAUGGGAGUACUUAAAGUAUAGCUGAUCGGGAAGUUCUUUUUAUAGAUUGGUGGUAUGGAAGAAGGGUAGAAAUCACCUGCAGGUGCCUAAGCCAAUAAGAGAGAUGCAACCCCUUUCCUCUUGACUUGCUUCUUAACUCUUUUCGAGAGUCAAGAGUUAGGUCAUGGUCAAGAGCCUUGACAAUAAUAAAUUUAUGGACUUUAUCUGGCUGCAUAUUCAUAUCAAGUGAACAAAAAAGCAAUGAAAAAAGAAUUUCAUUUGACGUUUGGAGAUUAAGCAAAAUAAUAUGCAUAGGUGAUCAAAAGUUUUAUUUUUUCUGUAAGGAUACUCAGAGUUAUAGAUGUAUUGAAAUAUAUUGAUUUAUUUACAAUACUGAUGAUAUGAUUUAUAAUAUUUAAUAAUAUUUACAAAUAUUGAUGUGUAUUUGAAAUAAAAAUUUCAAAG